Molecule: ribosomal RNA, 510 nt
Filed under: uncultured Glomus
Lineage: Eukaryota; Fungi; Glomeromycota; Glomeromycetes; Glomerales; Glomeraceae
Description: SSU rRNA
Rfam family: Eukaryotic small subunit ribosomal RNA
Source: RNAcentral
AGCAGCCGCGGUAAUUCCAGCUCCAAUAGCGUAUAUUAAAGUUGUUGCAGUUAAAAAGCUCGUAGUUGAACUUCGGGGUUUACCCAUUGGUCAGGCUUAAUUGUCUGUACUGGUGAGAUAAAUCUCUACCUUCUGAGGAACUUUCAUGCCAUUUAUUUGGUGUGAUGGGAAAUCAGGACUGUUACUUUGAAAAAAUUAGAGUGUUUAAAGCAGGCUAACGUCUGAAUACAUUAGCAUGGAAUAAUGAAAUAGGACGGACUGAUUCUAUUUCGUUGGUUUCUAGGAUCACCGUAAUGAUUAAUAGGGAUAGUUGGGGGCAUUAGUAUUCAAUUGUCAGAGGUGAAAUUCUUGGAUUUAUUGAAGACUAACUACUGCGAAAGCAUUUGCCAAGGAUGUUUUCAUUAAUCAAGAACGAAAGUUAGGGGAUCGAAGACGAUCAGAUACCGUCGUAGUCUUAACCAUAAACUAUGCCGACUAGGGAUCGGACGAAGUUAAUUUUAUAAUGACGCG